CCCAGUGAACGGCGGCCGUAACUAUAACGGUCCUAAGGUAGCGAAAUUCCUUGUCAGGUAAGUUCUGACCCGCACGAAUGGCGUAACGACUUGAGAGCUGUCUCAACAACAUACCCGGCGAAAUUGAAGUACUGGUAAAGAUGCCAGUUACCCGUGAUAAGACGGAAAGACCCCAUGGAGCUUUACUGUAACUUGAUAUUGAAUUUUUGUAUUACAUGUACAGGAUAGGUGGGAGACAGAGAACUAAUGCCGCCAGGUGUUAGGGAGUCGAUGUUGGGAUACCACUCUUGUAAUAUGAAGGUUCUAACCUGCACCCGUGAAUCCGGGUGGGGGACACUGUCAGGUGGACAGUUUGACUGGGGCGGUCGCCUCCUAAAAGGUAACGGAGGCGUUCAAAGGUUGGUUCAGCACGGACGGAAAUCGUGCAACGAGUGCAAACGCAUAAACCAGCCUAACUGCGAGACCGACAAGUCGAGCAGUAACGAAAGUUGGAGUUAGUGAUCCGGCGGUAUGAGAGUGGAAUUGCCGUCGCUCAACGGAUAAAAGCUACCCUGGGGAUAACAGGCUGAUCUCCCCCAAGAGUCCACAUCGACGGGGAGGUUUGGCACCUCGAUGUCGGCUCAUCGCAUCCUGGAGCUGUAGUCGGUUCCAAGGGUUGGGCUGUUCGCCCAUUAAAGCGGUACGCGAGCUGGGUUCAGAACGUCGCGAGACAGUUCGGUCCCUAUCUAUCACGGGCGUAGGAAAUUUGAGGAGAGCUGACCUUAGUACGAGAGGACCGGGUUGGACGUACCGCUGGUGCACCUGUUGUUCUGCCAAGGGCAUAGCAGGGUAGCUAAGUACGGACGGGAUAAACGCUGAAGGCAUCUAAGCGUGAAGCCCCCUUCGAGAUAAGAUUUCCCAUAGCGUAGGCUAGUAAGGACCCAUGAAGACUACAUGGUUGAUAGGCCGGAGGUGGAAGUGCAGUAAUGUAUGUAGCUGACCGGUACUAAUAGUCCGAGGGCUUGACCAA
RNAcentral lists this ribosomal RNA (1009 nucleotides) under human gut metagenome. RNAcentral's name for it is "bacterial LSU rRNA". It matches the Rfam family "Bacterial large subunit ribosomal RNA", at positions 1919 to 2925 of the family's 2925-position model. The record is from RNAcentral.